CCUACGGGGGGCAGCAGUGGGGGAUAUUGCACAAUGGGGGAAACCCUGAUGCAGCGACGCCGCGUGGGUGAAGAAGCGCCUCGGCGCGUAAAGCCCUGUCAGCAGGGAAGAAAAUGACGGUACCUGAAGAAGAAGCCCCGGCUAACUACGUGCCAGCAGCCGCGGUAAUACGUAGGGGGCAAGCGUUAUCCGGAUUUACUGGGUGUAAAGGGGGCGCAGACGGCGAUGCAAGCCAGGAGGGAAAGCCCGGGGCCCAACCCCGGGACUGCUCUUGGAACUGCGGGGCUAGAGUGCAGGAGGGGCAGGCGGAAGUCCUGGUGUAGCGGUGAAAUGCGUAGAUAUCAGGAGGAACACCGGUGGCGAAGGCGGCCUGCUGGACUGCAACUGACGUUGAGGCCCGAAAGCGUGGGGAGCAAACAGGAUUAGAUACCCCGGUAGUC
Molecule: ribosomal RNA, 440 nt
Filed under: uncultured bacterium
Lineage: Bacteria
Description: partial 16S ribosomal RNA
Rfam family: Bacterial small subunit ribosomal RNA
Source: RNAcentral